This 253-nucleotide ribosomal RNA is filed under the name uncultured bacterium. RNAcentral's name for it is "partial 16S ribosomal RNA". It matches the Rfam family "Bacterial small subunit ribosomal RNA", at positions 524 to 776 of the family's 1533-position model. The record is from RNAcentral.
UACGAAGGGCGCAAGCGUUACUCGGAACUACUGGGCGUAAAGCGUGCGUAGGUGGUUCGUUAAGUCUGUCGUGAAAGCCCCGGGCUCAACCUGGGAAUGGCGAUGGAUACUGGCGGGCUAGAGUGCGGUAGAGGGUGGUGGAAUUCCCGGUGUAGCAGUGAAAUGCGUAGAGAUCGGGAGGAACACCAGUGGCGAAGGCGAGUCCCUGGACAACUCCUGACACUGAGGCACGAAAGCUAGGGGAGCAAACAGG